UUAAGUUCAGCGGGUAUCCCUACCUGAUCCGAGGUCAACCUAAGAAAGUUGGGGGUUAUUGGCAAGCAACCGCAAGGCCCAAUCGCGAGAGAAAUUACUACGCGUAGAGCCAGACGGCACCGCCACUGCUUUUAAGGGCCGCCGGUACGGCGAACCCCAAAUCCACGCGGAGCGUGAGUGGUCAUAAUGACGCUCGAACA
RNAcentral lists this unclassified non-coding RNA (200 nucleotides) under Helotiales sp. RNAcentral describes it as "partial internal transcribed spacer 2". Lineage: Eukaryota; Fungi; Ascomycota; Leotiomycetes; Helotiales. The record is from RNAcentral.